Molecule: ribosomal RNA, 385 nt
Filed under: uncultured eukaryote
Lineage: Eukaryota
Description: SSU rRNA
Rfam family: Eukaryotic small subunit ribosomal RNA
Source: RNAcentral
AGCUCCAAUAGCGUAUAUUAAAGUUGUCGCAGUUAAAAAGCUCAUAGUUGGAUUUCUGGCAGGAGCGACCGGUCACACACUCUGUGUGUGAACUUGUGUUGUCUUUGACCAUCCUUGGGGAGAUCCUGUUUGGCAUUAAGUUGUCGGGCAGGGGAUACCCAUCGUUUUACUGUGAGAAAAUUAGAGUGUUUAAAGCAGGCUUAUGCCGUUGAAUAUAUUAGCAUGGAAUAAUAAGAUAGGACUUCAGAACUAUUUUGUUGGUUUGCGUUACGAAGUAAUGAUUCAUAGGGACAGUUGGGGGUAUUCGUAUUUUAUUGUCAGAGGUGAAAUUCCUGGAUUUCUGAAAGACGAACUACUGCGAAAGCAUUUACCAAGGAUGUUUUCA